RNAcentral lists this ribosomal RNA (465 nucleotides) under uncultured bacterium. Its description in RNAcentral is "partial 16S ribosomal RNA". It matches the Rfam family "Bacterial small subunit ribosomal RNA", at positions 28 to 507 of the family's 1533-position model. The record is from RNAcentral.
GACGAACGCUGGCGGCGUGCUUAACACAUGCAAGUCGAACGGAAAGGCCCUGCUUGCAGGGUACUCGAGUGGCGAACGGGUGAGUAACACGUGGGUGAUCUGCCCUGCACUUCGGGAUAAGCCUGGGAAACUGGGUCUAAUACCGGAUAGGAGCCAUUUUUAGUGUGAUGGUUGGAAAGUAUUUUCGGUGUAGGAUGAGCUCGCGGCCUAUCAGCUUGUUGGUGGGGUAAUGGCCUACCAAGGCGACGACGGGUAGCCGGCCUGAGAGGGUGGACGGCCACAUUGAGACUGAGAUACGGCCCAGACUCCUACGGGAGGCAGCAGUGGGGAAGAUUGCACAAUGAGCGCAAGCCUGAUGCAGCGACGCCGCGUGGGGGAUAACGGCCUUCGGGUUGUAAACUCCUUUCGCUAGAGACGAAGCUUUUUGUGACGGUACCUAGAUAAGAAGCACCGGCUAACUACGUG